Molecule: ribosomal RNA, 459 nt
Filed under: uncultured bacterium
Lineage: Bacteria
Description: bacterial SSU rRNA
Rfam family: Bacterial small subunit ribosomal RNA
Source: RNAcentral
ACUCCUACGGGAGGCAGCAGUGGGGAAUAUUGGACAAUGGGCGAAAGCCUGAUCCAGCCAUGCCGCGUGUGUGAAGAAGGUCUUCGGAUUGUAAAGCACUUUAAGUUGGGAGGAAGGGCAGUUACCUAAUACGUGAUUGUUUUGACGUUACCGACAGAAUAAGCACCGGCUAACUCUGUGCCAGCAGCCGCGGUAAUACAGAGGGUGCAAGCGUUAAUCGGAAUUACUGGGCGUAAAGCGCGCGUAGGUGGUUUGUUAAGUUUGGAUGUGAAAUCCCCGGGGCUCAACCUGGGAACUGCAUUCAAAACUGACUGACUAGAGUAUGGUAGAGGGUGGUGGAAUUUCCUGUGUAGCGGUGAAAUGCGUAGAUAUAGGAAGGAACACCAGUGGCGAAGGCGACCACCUGGACUGAUACUGACACUGAGGUGCGAAAGCAUGGGGAGCAAACAGGAUUAGAUA